RNAcentral lists this long non-coding RNA (943 nucleotides) under Nicotiana benthamiana. RNAcentral's name for it is "long non-coding RNA (NBEN_LNC006708)". Lineage: Eukaryota; Viridiplantae; Streptophyta; Magnoliopsida; Solanales; Solanaceae. The record is from RNAcentral.
UGAGGAGGCUUCCAGGCCUCGAGUGUGAUGUGAGAAGGCUUUCAGGACUUAUGUUGAUAUGAUCAGGCUUUUAGGCCUUAUUUUAUAUGCCAUGAGCUGGCUUGAUAUUGCACUUGGACUGUAGGAGCCCCUCCGGAGUCUGCACCCCCACAGUGAGCACAGGUACCCAUAUAUAGUGGAUAAAUUUUGACAGUGGUAACAAUGGCACUACAUGAUGCGUUUGGUCAGGUAACAAUGACUUACCAGGAAUGACAUCGUGCGGUCAAGUAACAAUGGCUGACCAGGAAUAAUAUCGUGUGGUCAGGUAACAAUGACUGACCAGGAACAAAAUCGUGCCCGAUGGGCUGGUACUAUUCUAUGUGAUUGCCCGAGAGGCAGCUUCCUACUUGUUAAUUUCUGCCAAAUUACCCAUUGUACUUAUUGUAAAAGAUAAUUCAGUUGAUAUUUCACUGCUUCACUAUUUUCUAAAAGGGGAUUUCACUGCUUCUAUACAUCAUGUUGGUUGCUUUAUGUAAUUUCUUACUGUUCAAUUAGUAUUUUCCUUUAUUACUCACUAAGUUGGAGUACUCACUUUACUCCCUGCACCUCGUGUGCAGAUAUAGGUAUUUGUUCAUUUGGUAGCGGGUAUUGAUUGUUAGAAGCAGAGUAGUAGGAGUUUAGCAAGGUGACUGCCAGCGCUCGAAGCAGCGUUUCUUUCUACGUUAUUCAUUUUAGACUUAGUAAAUAAAAUUACACUCUUAUAGACGCACGUGACUUAUAACACCCCAGUUUGGGCUUUGUUUGGGUUGUACUUCCGUUAAAUAAUGUUAUUAAAUCAUCUUAAAAUUGUUUAAUUCAUGUUUAUCUACUUUUGAAGAAGGCAAUUAGGAUUGGUUGGUUGGCCUUGUCUUCACGAGAGGGCCCAUCACAACCGGAGCGGGGUUUGGGUCGUGACACUUAAAAU